Molecule: ribosomal RNA, 253 nt
Filed under: uncultured bacterium
Lineage: Bacteria
Description: partial 16S ribosomal RNA
Rfam family: Bacterial small subunit ribosomal RNA
Source: RNAcentral
UACGUGAGGGGCGAACGUUGUUCGGUGUCACUGGGCUUAAAGGGUGCGUAGGUGGCUUCGUAAGUAAGGAGUGAAAUCCCUCGGCUUACCCGGGGAAUUGCUUUUUAUACUGCGAGGCUUGAGGAUCAGAGGGGAAAGAGGAACUCCGAGUGUAGCGGUGAAAUGCGCAGAUAUUCGGGGGAAGGCCGGCGGCGAAGGCGUCUUUCUGGCUGAUUCCUGACACUGAGGCACGAAAGCGUGGGGAGCAAACAGG